ACCAGACAAAUCAUCCGAAGUCGGACGGCUAGACCAACUCACCAGGACAGACAUAAAGCAAAGACUACGAAUUCUAUCGUAAAGCGGCGUAAUGAUGCGUAAUCGGAAUCUGGCGUAUUAUCGAUAUGAAUGAGUGUUCUGUAAGCAGACAUAAAUAAGCAGUCAUGCCGCAAAUGUGUUUUUUGCGCCUUUUAAACUGUUAAGUUUCAUUUCAAAGAACUUGAAAAUCACAUGAACUGUAAAAUGCCUCGGACACCAGAAACAAACGCUAUUGGACAAACCUACAAAUUAGUAGUUGUAGGUGGUGGUGGGGUUGGUAAAAGCGCAUUAACCAUUCGCUUUAUACAGUCUUACUUUGUCACAGAUUAUGACCCUACUAUUGAAGAUUCUUAUACUAAGCAGUGUGUCAUAGAUGGACAAGUUGCACGCUUAGAUAUCUUAGACACAGCAGGUCAGGAGGAGUUCAGUGCUAUGAGAGAACAGUAUAUGAGGUCUGGAGAAGGAUUUCUAUUGGUGUUUUCAGUUACUGAUAGUAACAGUCUUGAUGAAAUGUACAAGUUUCAUAAACAGAUUCUUAGAGUAAAAGACCGUGAUGAAUUUCCUAUGUUAUUAGUAGCUAAUAAAUGUGAUUUGGAAUCUCAGCGUGUGGUUCCUCCAAAUGAAAUUCACCAAAGAGCCCAGCAGCUAAAAAUUCCUUACGUUGAAUGUAGUGCUAUGCUUGGACGAAAUGUUGAAACUGCAUUUUAUGAGCUUGUCAGGCAAGUGAGGUGUUCUUGAGAUGUUGCUAGACAGUGCUGUUGAACAAAGGAAUGCUAUACAGUAGAUUUGUCACAAAUUACAAUCAGGACCAUGGCUUUGAAAGAAAUUUCAAGCAGCUGAGAGACCACCAAUAAAGCCAUCCAAGUCAAAACCACGUAGGAAGUGCGUCAUUCUUUGAUGCUUGCUCAGUUUCUUAAUCUGUGUGAAGACUUUGUUAUAAAUAUACACAUACACAUGAAGAACAGAGGAAGAAUCAUGCUGAAGAAUUUCUUUUUGAGGUGUUCAUUUUAAUUUGCCAGUGUUUAUACCUUGGCUGAACUGACUAAGCAACUGUUACAGUUUUGUAUCAUUUCUACUUAAAUUUAUUAUUUACAAAUGUUGUAUAUUAUCUCUGUUAUGAUCAUGGAACAUUAUGAUUGGCCAGUUCCACCUCAUAUAGGCUGUUUUUAACGUGAAACUUUCUUAUAUUGUGGAAGUUUUGAACUGUGGAAACUUCAUAUUGCAGUCGUGUAAAAUUUUCACUUAUUUAAUUGAUGAGUGUUGAUUCAUAUCAGUGUAUAUCAAUUGUGAUUAUUUUUUAUCCAUAGCACUAUAUUUAUUUUUAGCUCUCAUCUUCGUCUAUUGUUUAUUUUAGCAUUUAAAUUAGUUUUUAUCUAGAGAUUGCUAUUAAUUUUACAUACAGUAUUAUAUGCUUAUUUUAUUCAUCAUGUAUAAUUGUUCCGAAUCCUGAAAUUCAAUAAGCGCAAGAGAUGUAUGUGUAUAGUCAGGCUGUAAUUUGCCUUUAGUCAUGUUUUUAAAUUGUUUGACUAUUUUCUUGCAUCACCAACUCUUUGUAUGUGAAUUGAAAGGAAAUUGAAGACCUGUUACUGUUAUUUUGCUAUUUUACAACACUUUCUUUUCUAAAUGACAGAUUUGCUGUUAUUUUCACAUUGUAAUAAAUUUAUAAUAAACAAUCAGAGUGUCUUUUUA
Stegodyphus dumicola is the source of this 1728-nucleotide RNA transcript. It is a transcript of the gene named ras-like protein 2, with no coding region annotated. The record is from RefSeq and is a predicted model, not a curated record. NCBI's taxonomy places the organism in Eukaryota, Metazoa, Arthropoda, Arachnida, Araneae, Eresidae.